This 3007-nucleotide ribosomal RNA is filed under the name Salmonella enterica subsp. enterica serovar Typhimurium. RNAcentral describes it as "23S ribosomal RNA". It matches the Rfam family "Bacterial large subunit ribosomal RNA". Lineage: Bacteria; Pseudomonadati; Pseudomonadota; Gammaproteobacteria; Enterobacterales; Enterobacteriaceae. The record is from RNAcentral.
GGUUAAGCGACUAAGCGUACACGGUGGAUGCCCUGGCAGUCAGAGGCGAUGAAGGGCGUGCUAAUCUGCGAUAAGCGCCGGUAAGGUGAUAUGAACCGUUAUAACCGGCGAUACCCGAAUGGGGAAACCCAGUGUGAUUCGUCACACUAUCAUUAACUGAAUCCAUAGGUUAAUGAGGCGAACCGGGGGAACUGAAACAUCUAAGUACCCCGAGGAAAAGAAAUCAACCGAGAUUCCCCCAGUAGCGGCGAGCGAACGGGGAGGAGCCCAGAGCCUGAAUCAGCAUGUGUGUUAGUGGAAGCGUCUGGAAAGGUGCGCGAUACAGGGUGACAGCCCCGUACACAAAAGCGCAUGUGCUGUGAGCUCGAUGAGUAGGGCGGGACACGUGGUAUCCUGUCUGAAUAUGGGGGGACCAUCCUCCAAGGCUAAAUACUCCUGACUGACCGAUAGUGAACCAGUACCGUGAGGGAAAGGCGAAAAGAACCCCGGCGAGGGGAGUGAAAAAGAACCUGAAACCGUGUACGUACAAGCAGUGGGAGCCCCACCACUAAGCCAGUGGUGAACUCCACAUCCGCAUCCUUUGCUGAGGAUACGGUUAACGGAGCGAAAGCGACGUUCAACCGCAAAACAAGCAGAGGGGGCUUAGUGGUGGGGUGACUGCGUACCUUUUGUAUAAUGGGUCAGCGACUUAUAUUCUGUAGCAAGGUUAACCGAAUAGGGGAGCCGGAGGGAAACCGAGUCUUAAUUGGGCGUUAAGUUGCAGGGUAUAGACCCGAAACCCGGUGAUCUAGCCAUGGGCAGGUUGAAGGUUGGGUAACACUAACUGGAGGACCGAACCGACUAAUGUUGAAAAAUUAGCGGAUGACCUGUGGCUGGGGGUGAAAGGCCAAUCAAACCGGGAGAUAGCUGGUUCUCCCCGAAAGCUAUUUAGGUAGCGCCUCGUGAAUUCAUCUCCGGGGGUAGAGCACUGUUUCGGCUAGGGGGCCAUCCCGGCUUACCAACCCGAUGCAAACUGCGAAUACCGGAGAAUGUUAUCACGGGAGACACACGGCGGGUGCUAACGUCCGUCGUGAAGAGGGAAACAACCCAGACCGCCAGCUAAGGUCCCAAAGUCAUGGUUAAGUGGGAAACGAUGUGGGAAGGCCCAGACAGCCAGGAUGUUGGCUUAGAAGCAGCCAUCAUUUAAAGAAAGCGUAAUAGCUCACUGGUCGAGUCGGCCUGCGCGGAAGAUGUAACGGGGCUAAACCAUGCACCGAAGCUGCGGCAGCGACGCUGAUGCGUUGUUGGGUAGGGGAGCGUUCUGUAAGCCUGCGAAGGUGACCUGUGAGGGUUGCUGGAGGUAUCAGAAGUGCGAAUGCUGACAUAAGUAACGAUAAAGCGGGUGAAAAGCCCGCUCGCCGGAAGACCAAGGGUUCCUGUCCAACGUUAAUCGGGGCAGGGUGAGUCGACCCCUAAGGCGAGGCCGAAAGGCGUAGUCGAUGGGAAACGGGUUAAUAUUCCCGUACUUGGUGUUACUGCGAAGGGGGGACGGAGAAGGCUAUGUUGGCCGGGCGACGGUUGUCCCGGUUUAAGCGUGUAGGUGUGUGUUCCAGGUAAAUCCGGUUCACUUUAACACUGAGGCGUGACGACGAGGCACUACGGUGCUGAAGCAACAAAUGCCCUGCUUCCAGGAAAAGCCUCUAAGCAUCAGGUAACACGAAAUCGUACCCCAAACCGACACAGGUGGUCAGGUAGAGAAUACCAAGGCGCUUGAGAGAACUCGGGUGAAGGAACUAGGCAAAAUGGUGCCGUAACUUCGGGAGAAGGCACGCUGACACGUAGGUGAAGUGAUUUACUCAUGGAGCUGAAGUCAGUCGAAGAUACCAGCUGGCUGCAACUGUUUAUUAAAAACACAGCACUGUGCAAACACGAAAGUGGACGUAUACGGUGUGACGCCUGCCCGGUGCCGGAAGGUUAAUUGAUGGGGUCAGCGCAAGCGAAGCUCCUGAUCGAAGCCCCGGUAAACGGCGGCCGUAACUAUAACGGUCCUAAGGUAGCGAAAUUCCUUGUCGGGUAAGUUCCGACCUGCACGAAUGGCGUAAUGAUGGCCAGGCUGUCUCCACCCGAGACUCAGUGAAAUUGAACUCGCUGUGAAGAUGCAGUGUACCCGCGGCAAGACGGAAAGACCCCGUGAACCUUUACUAUAGCUUGACACUGAACAUUGAGCCUUGAUGUGUAGGAUAGGUGGGAGGCUUUGAAGUGUGGACGCCAGUCUGCAUGGAGCCGACCUUGAAAUACCACCCUUUAAUGUUUGAUGUUCUAACGUGGACCCGUAAUCCGGGUUGCGGACAGUGUCUGGUGGGUAGUUUGACUGGGGCGGUCUCCUCCUAAAGAGUAACGGAGGAGCACGAAGGUUGGCUAAUCCUGGUCGGACAUCAGGAGGUUAGUGCAAUGGCAUAAGCCAGCUUGACUGCGAGCGUGACGGCGCGAGCAGGUGCGAAAGCAGGUCAUAGUGAUCCGGUGGUUCUGAAUGGAAGGGCCAUCGCUCAACGGAUAAAAGGUACUCCGGGGAUAACAGGCUGAUACCGCCCAAGAGUUCAUAUCGACGGCGGUGUUUGGCACCUCGAUGUCGGCUCAUCACAUCCUGGGGCUGAAGUAGGUCCCAAGGGUAUGGCUGUUCGCCAUUUAAAGUGGUACGCGAGCUGGGUUUAGAACGUCGUGAGACAGUUCGGUCCCUAUCUGCCGUGGGCGCUGGAGAACUGAGGGGGGCUGCUCCUAGUACGAGAGGACCGGAGUGGACGCAUCACUGGUGUUCGGGUUGUCAUGCCAAUGGCACUGCCCGGUAGCUAAAUGCGGAAGAGAUAAGUGCUGAAAGCAUCUAAGCACGAAACUUGCCCCGAGAUGAGUUCUCCCUGAGACUUAGAGUCUCCUGAAGGAACGUUGAAGACGACGACGUUGAUAGGCCGGGUGUGUAAGCGCAGCGAUGCGUUGAGCUAACCGGUACUAAUGAACCGUGAGGCUUAACCUU